Molecule: ribosomal RNA, 284 nt
Filed under: uncultured Rhodococcus sp.
Lineage: Bacteria; Bacillati; Actinomycetota; Actinomycetes; Mycobacteriales; Nocardiaceae
Description: partial 16S ribosomal RNA
Rfam family: Bacterial small subunit ribosomal RNA
Source: RNAcentral
CCGGCCUGAGAGGGCGACCGGCCACACUGGGACUGAGACACGGCCCAGACAGAUCCCUACGGGAGGCAGCAGUGGGGAAUAUGGCACAAUGGGCGCAAGCCUGAUGCAGCGACGCCGCGUGAGGGAUGACGGCCUUCGGGUUGUAAACCUCUUUCAGCAGGGACGAAGCGCAAGUGACGGUACCUGCAGAAGAAGCACCGGCCAACUACGUGCCAGCAGCCGCGGUAAUACGUAGGGUGCGAGCGUUGUCCGGAAUUACUGGGCGUAAAGAGCUCGUAGGCGGU